Long non-coding RNA from Cannabis sativa, 1037 nucleotides. RefSeq lists it as uncharacterized. The record is from RefSeq and is a predicted model, not a curated record. NCBI's taxonomy places the organism in Eukaryota, Viridiplantae, Streptophyta, Magnoliopsida, Rosales, Cannabaceae. The transcript is spliced from 3 exons.
GAGAGGACAAGAAAGACCCCCCACUAAAUUAUUGGACCCUUGGGCAAAUAUUAUAUGUUGGAACAUUGACUUUUAUCAUAAAAAAUUUAUAUAUAAGUGUCCGUCAAUGGAAACUGCUGGCUCACUUCCCAUUUAGAGGAAUCGAAAGUGAAAACAACACCUACAUAUAACUCAUAGAUGGUGAGAUUAUGGAGGGAGGUAGCCAAUGUGGAUGGAGGUGUAGGCACUGGAAGUGGUGCUUUUCUAAUCUUUUUAUUAGGUUUUUUGGUCACUCUGUGUAUUCUCUCAACUAUAAUCUUCUCCUGCGCAGACGGUGUGUCUAAAGAAAAGACCUCUCAAGGAGAUACCGAGCUCUAUGGCGGUGGCUGUGCUGCCGGAUGUGGCGCAGGCUGUGGGGCUUGAGGUGCUUCUGCCAAUUAUGCUACACAAUUAGCCUUAAUAAUAAAGUGCUUGGAGUAUAUAUGAGACGGCAAUACUUUUGGACCUCUUUGAUGACAGCGAAAUCAUUACAAACCAUUGCAUGACCUUUUAGUUUAGCAAAGAGAAGGAAUACACUCGUCUGAAUCUCAGAAUAAAUAAAAUAGUUUCUUUAAAGGAGAAAGCAAGCAAUGAUAUCAUUGGGAGAAGAUUUCUACAAGUCUUGUUUCAGGAGGAAGCAACCAUCACUAUCUUCAGGAGAAGAUUUCUACAAGUCUUGUAUCGGGUGGAAGCAAGCAACGUUAUCUUCGGAGAAGAUUUGUACAAGUCUUGCAUCGGGAGGAAGCAAGCAGUCAUCAAGUAAUUAAUUUGAAGGGAAUUCAAACCUUGGUGUCUUAAAGAUAUUCAUUCAGCAAAUAGGAGUACAUGAAGCUUGCGAAAAAAUUAUUAGAGGGAGUCUAUGUUUUGUUUAUGUCAAUUACAUUGUACUUUCAAAAUUUAACUAAUGAAUCUUAUCUCUAGGCGUGGUCCCAUGGACUAGUAGCAAUCUGCAAGGCUUGCUGAUACCACGUGCAAAAUAUCUUGUCAUUUUAGUUUCAAUAAUUUUACUUUCUACAGUG